RNAcentral lists this ribosomal RNA (92 nucleotides) under Salmo salar (Atlantic salmon). Lineage: Eukaryota; Metazoa; Chordata; Actinopteri; Salmoniformes; Salmonidae. The record is from RNAcentral.
GCUUGUGGUCAUACCACCCUGAACAUGCCUGAUCUCAUCUAAAUUCGGGAGUUAAGCAGGGUCCCACCUGGGAAUACCAGGUGCUGUAGGCU